This 447-nucleotide ribosomal RNA is filed under the name uncultured bacterium. Its description in RNAcentral is "bacterial SSU rRNA". It matches the Rfam family "Bacterial small subunit ribosomal RNA", at positions 355 to 825 of the family's 1533-position model. The record is from RNAcentral.
UGGGGAAUAUUGGACAAUGGGGGAAACCCUGAUCCAGCCAUGCCGCGUGAGUGACGAAGGUCUUCGGAUUGUAAAACUCUUUUAGCAGGGAAGAUAAUGACGGUACCUGCAGAAUAAGCCCCGGCUAACUUCGUGCCAGCAGCCGCGGUAAUACGAAGGGGGCUAGCGUUGUUCGGAAUUACUGGGCGUAAAGCGCGCGUAGGCGGACUCUCAAGUCAGGGGUGAAAUCCCGAGGCUCAACCUCGGAAUUGCCUCUGAUACUGGCUGUCUAGAGUCCGAGAGAGGUGGGUGGAAUUCCUAGUGUAGAGGUGAAAUUCGUAGAUAUUAGGAAGAACACCGGUGGCGAAGGCGGCCCACUGGCUCGGUACUGACACUGAGGUGCGAAAGCGUGGGGAGCAAACAGGAUUAGAUACCCGCGUAGUCCCUGAGCGGGCUGGCAAGGCGCAU